CAGUCGCCGCGGUAAUACGUAGGGUGCGAGCGUUAAUCGGAAUUACUGGGCGUAAAGCGUGCGCGGGCGGUUGUGUAAGACAGGUGUGAAAUCCCCGGGCUUAACCUGGGAACUGCGCUUGUGACUGCACAGCUAGAGUAUGGCAGAGGGGGGUGGAAUUCCACGUGUAGCAGUGAAAUGCGUAGAGAUGUGGAGGAACACCGAUGGCGAAGGCAGCCCCCUGGGCCAAUACUGACGCUCAUGCACGAAAGCGUGGGGAGCAAACAGGAUUAGAUACCCGCGUAGUCCCUGUCUCUUAUAA
This 301-nucleotide ribosomal RNA is filed under the name uncultured bacterium. Its description in RNAcentral is "partial 16S ribosomal RNA". It matches the Rfam family "Bacterial small subunit ribosomal RNA", at positions 509 to 809 of the family's 1533-position model. The record is from RNAcentral.